CAAAACGUAGCUCAACCAGAGCACCUCGCUUACACCGAGGGGGUGUCUGUGAAACCCAGACCAUUUUGA
This 69-nucleotide transfer RNA is filed under the name Phrynoderma karaavali. RNAcentral's name for it is "tRNA-Val". It matches the Rfam family "tRNA". Rfam says of the family: Transfer RNA (tRNA) molecules are approximately 80 nucleotides in length. Lineage: Eukaryota; Metazoa; Chordata; Amphibia; Anura; Dicroglossidae. The record is from RNAcentral.